Molecule: long non-coding RNA, 686 nt
Organism: Amphimedon queenslandica
Lineage: Eukaryota; Metazoa; Porifera; Demospongiae; Haplosclerida; Niphatidae
Exons: 4
Source: RefSeq, a predicted model, not a curated record
CUCAGAGAAGACAAGGACCAGUUCUAGUUAGGCUUGAUCGAGUUAAGGGGUCUUUAGGCACUAAAAGAAGGCGCUGGAACUGCUGUCUCAUUUACUCGCCGAUUUAGUAGAAAAAGAGAAUCAUUCUGAGGCUCUAUCACAUGAUACUAGUAGUUCUUCUGCUAUGCUCAAUACUUCAGGUAUGAGUGAUGGGGACGAAGAGCAGCCAUUUUGUGCAUAGAUAUAGAAUCGGCUAUUGGGAAACAUACAUUAGUGUUAGUGUGGUAUGGUUGACCGAAGGAUGAUCAGUUACAGACAGAUCGUCAUGUGAUUUGUGCUGAAUUUCGAUUCAAUGCCAGUUGUGAGUCCUGUAAUCGUAACUCAAGUUUAUUAGGUACUAGAUACAGAAGCUCGUACUAGCAUUUUUCUUGUGCUGGUAUAUUACCAUCACAGUACUGCCAUAUUUUUGUCGGCAUCACUGAGCACAGUUGGGAAGAGGUACACAGAUACAGGAGGCUCCUCACCAUCCCAAUAUCUAUUCAACCCUAUAAUGUUUAUAUUUUUUAAAAUUUAGAAUAAUAUUUUUGUAUUUACUUCUUCCAGUAGAUCGUUGAAUGUUACAACUGCUACCAGUACUAGGAUCUGAAUGAGGACCAUGUUGGGGUCUUUGCUGGAACCACUUAUACUUGAUGAUGGUGGCUGUUUUA